UAAGAGAGGCAUUGAGCUAAUAAAUGACACCAAGCAUAUUCAUCAAUUAAAUGUCCAGUCAUACAAAACUAAACCGAAUACGAAAAUGACCCAAAACAGUAGCGAGAAGAACGAUAUCGAAAAAGAAAAUGAACCUUUAUUGUUGCGUUUUCCUUAACGUAUACCGAGAAGCUUCCGAUACAAUGAACCAACCAGCGAGCUAAGGACCUGAACCUCGAUCCGGAAACAAAGUACAACGAUCUCAAAUCGAACCUCGACGGAACUCGAACAGAAAAACGACACCACUGGGACCUCUCAGGCGACGGAAACAUGACAGAAAAACAGGAGAGGAGGCUGCGUUCUGGUUGUUGCUGCACAGCUGGAGCUUGUUAAUCCGGCGAGCUGCUAAAGCUCGUUUUCCGGCGAGCUACUGGAGAAAGAAGACGAAGUGAGCAGCAGCUGCUCUUGAUGUGUGUUGUCCGGCAGUGAAGUCGUUUGGACGAGGGGGUCGACGCUACUGGUUUGGU
RNAcentral lists this long non-coding RNA (506 nucleotides) under Nicotiana benthamiana. RNAcentral's name for it is "long non-coding RNA (NBEN_LNC032618)". Lineage: Eukaryota; Viridiplantae; Streptophyta; Magnoliopsida; Solanales; Solanaceae. The record is from RNAcentral.